RNAcentral lists this ribosomal RNA (590 nucleotides) under uncultured bacterium. RNAcentral's name for it is "partial 16S ribosomal RNA". It matches the Rfam family "Bacterial small subunit ribosomal RNA", at positions 355 to 1376 of the family's 1533-position model. The record is from RNAcentral.
UGGGGAAUCGUUCCGCAAUGGACGAAAGUCUGACGGAGCAACGCCGCGUGAGUGAAGAAGGUUUUCGGAUCGUAAAACUCUGUCUUUUGGGGCGAACGUGAGUAUGGCGAACAAUCAUAGUCAGUGACGGUACCAAAGGAGGAAGCCACGGCUAACUACGUGCCAGCAGCCGCGGUAAUACGUAGGUGGCAAGCGUUGUCCGGAAUUAUUGGGCGUAAAGAGCGCGUAGGCGGGAUAGUCAGUCUGUUGUAAAAGUGCGGGGCUCAACCCCGUGAUGGCAGUGGAAACAGCUACUCUUGAGUGCAGGAGAGGAAAGUGGAAUUCCCAGUGUAGCGGUGAAAUGCGUAGAUAUUGGGAGGAACACCAGUGGCGAAGGCGACUUUCUGGACUGUGUCUGACGCUGAGGCGCGAAAGCCAGGGGAGCGAACGGGAUUAGAUACCCCGGUAGUCCUGGCCGUAAACGAUGGGUACUAGGUGUGGGGGGUAUCGACCCCUUCCGUGCCGGAGUUAACGCAAUAAGUACCCCGCCUGGGGAGUACGGUCGCAAGACUGAAACUCAAAGGAAUUGACGGGGUCAUAGCUGUUUCCUG